GCGAAAUAUUUUAAAAAAAAAUUAUCUUACUUUAUUUCAAAUCUAAGGUCUAUUAGAUCUAAUUUUUAUUAUCUGAUAUUUAAUCUAAAAUUAAAUCAAAAACUUGAGCAUUAGAGGAAUACAUCUAGGAUAACUAGAUUACCCUGUAGAUGAUCGCAGCAAUGCUCGAGGUUCUAAAAUAGCCACGCAGUCACUUGACCUCUACCGG
Molecule: long non-coding RNA, 208 nt
Filed under: Elaeis guineensis (African oil palm)
Lineage: Eukaryota; Viridiplantae; Streptophyta; Magnoliopsida; Arecales; Arecaceae
Description: long non-coding RNA (EGUI_LNC075960)
Source: RNAcentral